Molecule: ribosomal RNA, 253 nt
Filed under: uncultured bacterium
Lineage: Bacteria
Description: partial 16S ribosomal RNA
Rfam family: Bacterial small subunit ribosomal RNA
Source: RNAcentral
UACAGAGGGUGCAAGCGUUGUUCGGAAUUACUGGGCGUAAAGGGCGCGUAGGCGGCUUUGUAAGUCAGAUGUGAAAGCCCGGGGCUUAACCCCGGAAGUGCAUUUGAAACUACAAGGCUUGAGUGCAGUAGAGGUUGGUGGAAUUCCCAGUGGAGAGGUGAAAUUCGUAGAUAUUGGGAGGAACACCUGUGGCGAAGGCGGCCAACUGGGCUGCAACUGACGCUGAGGCGAGAGAGCGUGGGUAGCAAACAGG